RNAcentral lists this long non-coding RNA (2575 nucleotides) under Pelobates cultripes (western spadefoot toad). The record is from RNAcentral. Lineage: Eukaryota; Metazoa; Chordata; Amphibia; Anura; Pelobatidae.
UUCUUCAAGUUUUGACUUUUAUUUUUGUAUCCACCAUAAAAACAUACAUGUUUGAUAUAUGGCAUUUGAUGGACUUUUUUCAACCUACAUGAUUGUGAUUAUAAAUCAGUGCAUUUUCCGUGGUGGUUAAGUCUCUAUAUUAGACAUUUAAAGUCCAUUUUUAAACAGAGUAAAAAAAUCUAACAUGGUAAUUUAUUUAUUUCUUGUUCGUGUACACACAAGUCUAUAAACGCAUCAUGUUGACUUAUUCAUUUUAAUCACAGCAGUUCUUUAUACCUACUACUGCUCAGACGUCUCGGUUUGAGAUAAGACAUAGAAAUGAUUUAGCCUACUCCUGUGUCAAAUGGGAAACAUAUUUAGACUUUGCAUUUCUCUGUCUUGAAUGAUUCACCCCAAGUAGCUCCAUAAAUGCUGUUUUGAUAGGAAUCUAAAUACAAUUGCAACAGAUGGUGGUAAUGAGAAAAAACAUCAACUAAUAAUUUAGGAAAAUAACAAUGCCUUCAUUUUUGCCUAGUGUUGUGCUCAACAAGUAGUCAUAAAUAAUGCAUAAUUAAAAACAAAUACAAUCACAAUUAUUAUUUAACUUUCAAUUAAUCAACAAAUAGAAACAACUGUGAAUAUCAUAAACCAUAGUAUUCCACUUUUAUGUAUACUCCACGCUAAUAUUAAAUGAGCCAUGGAAACAUUUGUGCACCAAGAACCUUGGUAAAUGUUAAAAUACUCUUUGUAACAAAUGACUAAAAUACUGACAAUUUCUAAUUUGUAUCCACUACUGCAUUAAUCUUUGCAGAAUUGGUCUCAAAUGGCAAUAAUGUAUGAGCUGCUGUACCAAAUAAAGGACAUAAUGUGUGCUUUGGAUAUUUUUUAGCAUUCCAGUAACAAAAUACUUUAAAUUACCUGUCAGUGAAAAAUUACCUAUCUAUGAAUAAAUUAACUAUAGUGAAUUCGAAUGAGCUUACAUAAUGUGACCUAUAGUCUUUUAGAUUGUACGAGGCAUAUUCUAAUGCAUUUUUUAGCAUAUUGUAUAUAUACCUUGCUUCAGUGUAUUCAGCUUGUUUUAUUUCUUUUUUUUUUUAUAAAACAUAUCUUGUACAUGUUUUGCUAAAAUGUGCGCAGGUCCCAUUUUCUCCCAAGUAUGAAAAGUAUAUAUCCAGGAAAUAUAAAGGCAUGCAUUGUCUUUAUACCAGCAUGUAUAAAAUGUAAAUGCCUACAUGAUAAUUUUCCAAGAAAGCGAUUCAAACUUUUUUUGCCUUAUUUUGGAUCAACAGCAAAAACAGAUGUGAGGCUGAACUUGAUGAACACGUCUCUUUUUAGCCUAUGUAAUUAUGCAACUAAGAAGAAACCUAUUGAAAAGUAAGGAUACUAGAUCCUAAACGUACCAGGAGAUGACUUGUGAGAAAUAUAAAAGCUAAUAAUUGGGCUAAAACAGAUAUACAAUGGUAUAAGUAUAACAGAUACAAAUAGUACAUAAAUAAAAUCAAAUAACAGACACAUAAUACAAAAUGUCCAGGAAAAGUGAUGCCCCUGCUAGUGAAGUGGGGGACAAUUAACUAAGUAGUGGACCAGUAAAAAAAAAUAAAGAAUAAUGAAAAAAUAUAUAAAUAAAAAUAAUAUAUGCAAGAUAUAAAAAUUAACAAAAAAGCAACAGCAUCUGAUAUGUCACAUCAAAGUGUUGCUCAAAGUCAUAGGAUUCAAACUGGUAGAAUUUACCAUCAAAUAAAGUCCAUAAAAGUAACAGUAGUGAAAACAGUUGUAGCAAUGUUUUAAUGUAACUAUGUGUCAGCUAUCUGGAUACACAACUCCUGUAAUUGAGUAACAUGAGCAGCAAUUUAUGCAAGGCUGAUUUAAUAUGACCUACGGUGCAGAAUGAAAAAUAGGUGUCAAAUAGUCUGGUAUUAGCACAUCAUUUGCCACAGUAGAAACAAUACAAGGUCUUAGAUCACAGUGACAGAUCUAGAGUGGCAGGAUCUUCACUAUGUUCUGAAAAAUAAAAUAAACAGCCAUAGUGCUCUCUAUUAAAACGUGAUUUAUUUAUCAAAAUAUUGAGCAUGUAUAGAGAAAUCUGAAACUGCAGGAUAGGGGGAUAAAGUGGAUCGGUGCUGAUGCUCCCUCUGGCCGGCUUAGAGGAGGUGAUGCGCAGAGACUGAUGGUGAAGUCUUCCCGUGCGUUCCACUUUGUCCAAAGCCUGGGUUACACUUAAACCCGAUAACAGAAUGAUCCUACAGGAAAUGCCGUAAAGCCUUAUGUUUCGUGACUCAACAAUGUCACUUCAUCAGAGGCUAAAACUAGAUGGAUCUAUCUAGCGUACAUUUAUAGCACAUAAAUCCGCCAUAUACAAGCGGCAGCUGUAUCGACAGGGAAUGCCCACCUGCCAACGUCAAGGCAGACCCCCCUAAGCGAUCCUACACUGACUAAUAAUAAUUUUUAACCUUAUGAAAAUAUGGCAGAGAGUACUGUAAAGUACUGCAACGAUAUCUCCACUGAGACAGAGAGGGGUAUUUUGUUCCCUAUUAAGGGUUAAUAAGUAUAUAGGAGUGUAUAUAAAAAAUACCCCUCUCUGUCUCUGUGGAAAUAU